CCUACGGGUGGCAGCAGUGAGGAAUAUUGGUCAAUGGACGAGAGUCUGAACCAGCCAAGUAGCGUGAAGGAUGACUGCCCUAUGGGUUGUAAACUUCUUUUAUAUGGGAAUAAAAUGUUCCACGUGUGGGAUUUUGUAUGUACCAUAUGAAUAAGGAUCGGCUAACUCCGUGCCAGCAGCCGCGGUAAUACGGAGGAGCCGAGCGUUAGCCGGAUUUAUUGGGUUUAAAGGGAGCGUAGGUGGAUUGUUAAGUCAGUUGUGAAAGUUUGCGGCUCAACCGUAAAAUUGCAGUUGAAACUGGCAGUCUUGAGUCCAGUAGAGUUGUGCGGAAUUCGUGGUGUAGCGGUGAAAUGCUUAGCUAUCACGCAGAACUCCGAUUGCGACGGCAGCUCACUGGCCUGCAACUGACACUGCGGCUCGACAGUGUGGGUAUCACACAGGAUUAGCUACCCUUGUAGUC
RNAcentral lists this ribosomal RNA (460 nucleotides) under uncultured bacterium. RNAcentral's name for it is "partial 16S ribosomal RNA". It matches the Rfam family "Bacterial small subunit ribosomal RNA", at positions 338 to 795 of the family's 1533-position model. The record is from RNAcentral.